AGUCCAAGCUGUGUUCACACGGCGAGACCGCGGACGGCUCAUUAAAUCAGUCGUGGUCCAAAUGGGCCAGUGCAAAUCCUACUUGGAUAACUGUGGUAAUUCCAGAGCUAAUACAUGCAACUGAUAUCCCGAAGGCGGUGUUUGUGCUUGCUUGCCUUGCGCUUGCACUGCUCUGACGGAUGCUUUUAUUAGACCAAGCCGCUGAGGACUUGAGGGUUCGCGCUCUCUUGUUUGACUCGUGUGAUGGUGACUCUGGAUAACCAAAUUCUGACAAGCGCACGUACUUCUCUUCUGAGCGAGACGGCGCUGCCACUUUCGAGUGUCUGCCUUAUCAGCUAUCAACCGUUCGUUAUGCGCGACCGAUGGCUUUGACGGGUAACGGGGAAUCAGGGUUCGAUUCCGGAGAGGCAGCCUGAGAGACGGCUACCACGUCCAAGGACGGCAGCAGGCACGCAAAUUACCCAAUCCCAGCAAAUGGGGGAGGUAGUGACGAAAUCUAACGAUGCGGGCGCCCUUUCUGGGGCCCCGCAAUCGGAAUGGGCACUUUCUAAACAACCUGUUGAGAACCUACUGAAGGGCAAGUCUGGUGCCAGCAGCCGCGGUAAUUCCAGCUUCAGCAGCAUCUAUUAAAGUUGCUGCGGUUAAAAGGCUCGCAGUUGAAUGUCUGUAUCGAGCGCAGGUCAGGUGGACGUU
RNAcentral lists this ribosomal RNA (693 nucleotides) under Hakonboekia strauchii. RNAcentral describes it as "bacterial SSU rRNA". It matches the Rfam family "Eukaryotic small subunit ribosomal RNA", at positions 62 to 670 of the family's 1831-position model. Lineage: Eukaryota; Metazoa; Arthropoda; Malacostraca; Amphipoda; Pallaseidae. The record is from RNAcentral.